This 207-nucleotide non-coding RNA is filed under the name Striatella unipunctata. The record is from RNAcentral. Lineage: Eukaryota; Bacillariophyta; Striatellaphyceae; Striatellales; Striatellaceae.
ACAAUGGAGAAAAAGAGCUUUUGUUUUGUUUUUGUUUUUCUGUUUCUUUCGGUACUCAUCCUUUUGUUUUUCUUCCCUCCAUGUGUGAAAAACAUAACAAAUAAUAAAAACGAUGGUAUACACAUGGGCUCUUUCUUGCAUACAAACAAAGAAUUUGGACAACAGAAAAAGAAAUUAAUUUCUUUAUCGAUCUCGGUAUUACAAGAC